Molecule: ribosomal RNA, 301 nt
Filed under: uncultured bacterium
Lineage: Bacteria
Description: partial 16S ribosomal RNA
Rfam family: Bacterial small subunit ribosomal RNA
Source: RNAcentral
AGCCGCCGCGGUAAUACGAAGGGGGCUAGCGUUGCUCGGAAUCACUGGGCGUAAAGGGUGCGUAGGCGGGUCUUUAAGUCAGGGGUGAAAUCCUGGAGCUCAACUCCAGAACUGCCUUUGAUACUGAAGAUCUUGAGUUCGGGAGAGGUGAGUGGAACUGCGAGUGUAGAGGUGAAAUUCGUAGAUAUUCGGAAGAACACCAGUGGCGAAGGCGGCUCACUGGACUGGUAUUGACGCUGAGGUGCGAAAGCGUGGGGAGCAAACAGGAUUAGAUACCCCGGUAGUCCCUGUCUCUUAUACA